AGUCCAUGUCUCUUUCACUCACUGUGGUCAGCUUCCACACCAUUUCUUUGGUGUGGCUUGGCAAGAACCUCAGGUGUUACAUCUUGGCGAGCCAGACAGGAGACUCCAGAAAAGGGGUGAUUUUCCUGUACCAGUCCAAUGCCUCCAGAGGAAGAUCAUACAUUUGCCAUUUUACUGCUUAGUACGCAUGCUUGAGCCUGCUCGCCCAACUGCUGAGAUCUUAUUCAGAAACUGCUGAUCACCAACUCCAGGUGUUUUUAUUACACAAGACAAAAACGGAAAAACAGUAACAAAUGAUUGGUUAAGCCUUUCAAAACAAAGAAGUUGAAGGUCACUGGAAUAGGUUCAUUACACUCAAGCAAAGGCCUGGGGAAAUGAUAGAAUUACCUCUGUUGACCCAGAAGAGCACCAAAAGCACCAGUGUGCAGAAAUCAGAGACCUCAAGCUAAAAGUCAUAAAAGGACAAGAACCUGGAAGUCGUCGAACUGUGGAAGCAAAAGACCUGUAAUGCUCCUGCUUGCCGAGCUGUGAGCAGUGGUAGUAAAAGAGCAGUAACAUUCUCUCCUGCUUGCCAAACAGGAGAGAAGCCACUGGCACCACUCCCUCCCACUCACUGAACUAUAGAAGAGAAAAAAUUGAAACACCAAAAUUGGGGAAAUGCGACUUUUGCGAAAAUUUGAAAGUGCAUGCUUCACAGAAGGAAGGGGGAGCUGGUCUAUUAUGUCUCACUAUAACAAGACUAAAAUUUUGCAAAUAAAUUGUUCCUGCCAUAAUUUAUCCUUGGUAGAAAUGAAGAAAUUGGAGAGAGAAAAAAUUGGAUUCUAGGUCCUGACCAUUGUUUUUGAAUUUUUAUUAUUUUCCUACAAUUUAGGCUAAAUUCUGAACUAUUUGCUGGCUACAAGAGGCCUCUAAAAAAGAGCUGGGUUUUAGUUUUCUUCAUGCUCUUUAAAAACUGGCAUAUAAUGGUGUGUAUCUCUCGUUGUUUUACUUCUAAGAAACUGAAGGCAUGAUAUUCUGAAGACUAGAGGUGAUUCAAUAGCCUAUGAAUCUUCUUCAUUUGGAACCCCACUGGGCCUGAUCUGUUUCCCAUCACCAAUGCACUUCUGCUAAACCUAUAUCCUAUCAAGUACUCUCCCUAAAUGCUCAGAGACCAUAACAGAAGAUGAGGGUGUGUGAGAUUAUAAAAGCCAAAUUAGUGGAGUGGAAUCUGGAGGCUAAAGCAACUCCAUCUUGGAUGCUAAUCUGCCAUGUUGGCUUCUGAUUAACCCCAGUUCUGGAGGGCCUCUGAGGUUUCCAAUUUAUCUACUGUCCCUUGUGUAAGAACAAGUACUUAUCAUAAAUCCUGCUAUUAGGGCAAAUUUCUACCCAUUCCCUCUGAAGCAUGUGCACCUCUCCUCUACAUGUAAUCUCCCCUACAAUAGAUAAACCCCUCUGGGUCUGGGGGCUAAUAGUGUGGGAACCCAUCAUCUUGCCUCACUGCUGCACAAGCCACAGGUGUGGCUUCUGUUUCUAAGUCCCUAUUAAAUGUUUCUAGAUACCA
This 1540-nucleotide long non-coding RNA is filed under the name Homo sapiens (human). Its description in RNAcentral is "long intergenic non-protein coding RNA 2672". The record is from RNAcentral. Lineage: Eukaryota; Metazoa; Chordata; Mammalia; Primates; Hominidae.